Molecule: ribosomal RNA, 461 nt
Filed under: uncultured bacterium
Lineage: Bacteria
Description: partial 16S ribosomal RNA
Rfam family: Bacterial small subunit ribosomal RNA
Source: RNAcentral
GAUGAACGCUGACAGAAUGCUUAACACAUGCAAGUCUUUGGCGAAGCUGUGCUUGCACAGCCUAGCCAAGGCGGACGGGUGAGUAACGCGUAAGGAACUUGCCCUGCAGUCAGGGAUAACAGACGGAAACGACUGAUAAGACCUGGUAAAGUCAGGCGGACUCAUGUCCAGCCUGAUGAAAAGAGAUGCUGCAGGCGAGCCUUGCGUCCUAUUAGCUUGUUGGUGGGGUAACGGCCCACCAAGGCGAUGAUAGGUAGCCGGCCUGAGAGGGUGGACGGCCACAAGGGGACUGAGAUACGGCCCUUACUCCUACGGGAGGCAGCAGUGGGGAAUAUUGGACAAUGGGGGCAACCCUGAUCCAGCAAUUCUGUGUGCACGAUGAAGGUUUUCGGAUUGUAAAGUGCUUUCAGCAGGGAAGAAAAAAUGACGGUACCUGCAGAAGAAGCGACGGCUAAAUACGU